RNAcentral lists this long non-coding RNA (19222 nucleotides) under Nicotiana tabacum (common tobacco). RNAcentral describes it as "long non-coding RNA (NTAB_LNC005722)". Lineage: Eukaryota; Viridiplantae; Streptophyta; Magnoliopsida; Solanales; Solanaceae. The record is from RNAcentral.
CCUGACCCACCAAAACAACCCACCCGUUUACCCUGAAUAUAAAACCUCCUUUAUAAUUUUCCCCCAUUUUGAACCCCAAACCUAAGAAGUCAGAUAUGCUGCGCCCCUUUCUACUGUUCAUCUUCCCCAACUCUCAACUCGCCCUCAACUCACCAUUAAUUCACCCGAGUUCACUCAAAAUGGUCCCCCCCUCCACGUCAUUUGAUUCCCAACGGUUUUGUCAGUAGGGAGUACGAAUUUUCUCUCCCAAAUAGCACGAUUUCGGAUUCAAAAGGACAAUUGUUGGACGAAUGAGAGCGUGGAUAGAUGAAAAUCGAUCCAUGCCUUCCAUUUGUCCUAAAAAUUGUUCAAAAAUCAGAAGAUUUGAGAAUUUUCGAGGGUUAUAUAUAGGAGGUAAGUCUUCUUUUUCUGGGGGGGGGGGGUGAAGGAAAAUAAAAGAAAAAGAAAAAAAUCAGGAGAAAAAUCGGAAAAAUCUUCAAAAAUUUAGUAGUGAAAUUUCUAGUGUUUAAAGCCUUUUCUUCUUCUGGAGCUUUUUCGGAUUUAGCAUCUUUUCAAAGACGAAAAUAUGAGCAUGGUUUUGGAUUGAAGAUUAAAUUGGAGUUUUUUUUAUUGCUGGGGUUUGGAGUUUUGGCACUAUUGGUUUUCUGUCCAAUUUUCUGUUGCAGUUUGGAUUUGUUUGGCUGAUCUGUUAAGCUGCUGAUACUGUCGCUGAAUUUAUUCUCCUAUUUCAGAGUUUCGUUCGAUAUUUUCAGUUGUUUUUUGCUAAUAGGUAUGUUUCAACACCGUUGUAUUCAUCUUCUAUUUAAAUAAAGUCGUUGAUUUCUGGUUUGGUUUGCUGAAUGCUUGUGAUAGUAUGUCAACAUGAACUUAAAUAGACCUAUUUUAAACGAUUUAUGGAGUUAAGUACUAGAGUUUUGUUAGGUCAAGAUUUGAGGGCAAGCAUGAAGCCAACCACUGAGGAAAAGAAUUUUGGUCCCUGUUUAUUUUUAGAAGUCAAGUUCCUGUAUUUUUGAGUUUCUUUUACUGCAAAAAUAUUCCUUGUUCUACUGUUGACAUGUGAGAACAAUUGAAGUGAGUUUUGGUUGAGUCUGCUACAUCACUUGGUAGCAAAAUUGCAUUAGUUUGGUACAGCUAACAAUCCAUAGUUUCCUUAUUGUGCGCUAUGCACACUUAUGUGUAUUAGUUGGUCAAAUGGCCUAAUUUCCCUGGUCUGGUGAUUUCGCUUAAAUAUUUGGAUAAAUCUCAUGAAUUUGCUCGAACAUAGUUGUUUUAUUGAGUGCCUGUAUUCGCUCUGUUCUUUUUCUGCAAAACUAGUAGUGUUCAAUUUCAAGUUUGGCCUUAAUAAAAAUGGCAUCAGAUUGUUAGCAAAAAUAGAUUCACUUUGAGGAUUUCUACAAAAAUGGUAAUUUAACUUAGAUUUAUCAAUUGAAAAGGAUGCUAUUAGGAGCAUUGAACGAAAUUUGUCCUUUGGUUAAAGUUUUAGAACAGAACCAAGGCAUUCAUAUGAUGAACAAUCCAUAAAGUCAUGCUAUUUGGCAUUGUCUCACUGACAGCAAUAUGUAUGCAUUUAUUUGAUCUUGUACUUGCACUUCUCUUUUCACAAGACACAAUUACCAUGGCACUUCAGCCUUGCAUCCAGAUGGAUUUUUGAAUUCCCAAAGUUUUAAGUUUAUCAAGGUAAGAACCCCGUAGAAUCACAUUUGACACUAGACCUUCAUAUUUUUAUGUUGCUAUUUCUAUUUUUCAAAUAGUAUUAUCUUUUUUUGGUAAGUGUAUCAAUCUGUUGCUCUGUAUAAUUUUUCCACUCUCUACUUUGAUAGAAGUUAGGUUCUCAAAAUUUGUACCCUGCUCCUUGGUUAUUGUCUCAGUCUUUUGUUCAUUGGAAUAGUUGAGACCUAAAAUUCUUCAAUUUUGGAAUGGCCAAUAUGUAUCAGUUCAUAGAUUUCAUGCCAACUCAAAUAAAAUGCAAUUUCAAUUGUUGUAAUUGUGUUUGGGAGUAUGACUCCACUUUGGAUGGGAGUCUGCCGAUCAGGUUUGAAGAUUGAAUGAGCUUGAGGCCCAAUUUUGUUAUUCAACAAUGUGGAGUUCAUUUGGACUCACUGCCGUUCACAUGCAAGCUUCUAAAUUGGGCCUGUUAUUUUGGGCCCAUUCGCACCUCUUAUUUGAUUCAUCAGAUUCCACAAGACCAAAGAAAAACCUUUUUAAUAAUAAGUUGUAGUACUAAUGUUGCUAUUGACCAUUGAGUAGUGUAGUAAAGUAAUAAUUUAUUCGUUGACCACUUUGGAUAAGCCUUGUUUGAAAAGCAUCGUAGUUUGCUUUAGGAUCGAUUUAGACUAGUAUCGUGAUUGUGUAUACGUUCACGUAACAUAAUUGCAAGUUUAAUUCUAAAAAUGACUCGAGGGAUGCGUUCGCGCAACUUCAACUAAACUUUUCUUAAUAAAAAAUAAACAAAGUGUUAUUAAUUGUGGACACGUUCGCGUGACAUGAUUUUAACGUGCCAAAGGAAAAGAGUAUACGUUCGCGUAACUCAAUUCUUUAAUUACGAAUAAAUCAAGUGAUUAAAAGCGGGUAAAAAGAUAAUUGCACGUAGGUCCUAAAAAUGAAUAGUUAAAUAAUUUUAGCCAAGUAUAAAUCGCUAAGCAACCGUGCUAGAACCACGGAAUCCGGGAAUGCCUAACACCUUCUCCCGGGUUAACAGAAUUUCUUAUCUAGAAUUUCUGGUUCACAGACUUUAAAAAAUAAAACUUCCUCGACUUGGGAUUUUCAAAUAAACCGGUAACUUGGGACACCAAUUAAAAUAUUCCAAGUGGCGACUCUGAUUAAAUAAUUUAAAUAAUUCCAUCUCGAAUAAUGUCCCUUUAAUUGGAAAAACUCCAUUAUACCCCUCCUCGGGUGUGUAAAAAGGAGGUGUGACAUAUGUUCUCAUUUUCGUACACCAUAUCUUCUUAGUCAUAUGCAUGAGUCGUAAUAAAAAACCUCUCUGGUCAUAUCAAACAUUUCUGACUGCUAGGAAUUUUGCCCUUAGUCUCUUUUUUGUCCAAAACUAUAAUGACCAAUUCUAGGCUAGUCACGAUCAAAUUCUUAACUUUCUAUAUUGUAGGGUCUGACAUUUAAAUUAUCAUCAUCCAACUUGUGGCUCAAUUGCUAAGAAUUAAAAAUGAAAUUGUUCUGUGAGGUAAAACACAUUCGGAUGCACAACCAUGCAUAAACAUGUCCUUCAGAGAUAUCAUUACCUUAUAAAUCACUUCCUACACAAGCUGGCGAGUCUUGGUUUUAAUUCAGACCUAAAACAUGUGACAAUUUUGCUAUGAUUACUGUUCUUACAUUUUCUCUUAGCACCCAUAGGCAUCACCGUUUACUCCCAAGUUAAAGGACAUUGAAUACACUGGAAAUUGGAGAUCUGGUAACUGAAUAAUUGAUAAUUGGCAUACCGAAUACCCAUAAACUUGCUAGCUGAAAGGCCGCUAACUGGUAACUGAGAUAAACUGAUAAUCAUAAAACAUGAUAAUUGCUUUUGUACUUUCUGAUAAGAUUAUGCUCUAAUCUGUACUACUAUCCAUUGCAUCCCACUUCCAACAUCCUCUCAAGUCUCAUUUGUUACCAACUUAUACUCCAUAAUUAUACCCCAAUGGGAAUCAUCUUCACUAAGAACUUGAGUUUUUUCCCGCACGUCAUUUGGGCAUUCGAUACGUUUGGAGUUCGAUAGGAAGAGAAGGAUAACUAUUGCUCUAAGCUUCAUGGCACGAUCUAGAGUAGAAAGAACUGAGACAAUCCCGGAUGUCUUGGUAGUUAACCGUUUAUAUGAGUGGACGACACACACAUAUUGUCACGCCCCAACGUUGGGAGGCACGACCAGUGCUCAAUCGAGUGAACCCAACUCAAUACGAUUAAGGAAACCAUGCUUACGUUUAUUUAGACAAUAUGAAAAGUUGUACAUUCAUCAUUGUUAGUUCAUUUCAUAUCACAACCUUAAACCGUAGUUAAGUUCAAAGAUUCCAUACAAUUGUAAUUUAGAGAAAACAAGAGUUAGAAUUACAGCAUAGUCCAUAGACCUAUCCAACACCCGUACAUAACCCACACAAACGUCUACGAAGCCUCUAAGGAUACAAAAGACAAUGAUGGCAACGCCAACAACAUGGCCCCAGCUAUGCCUCAAAAGUAGAUAUCUAUAACAAAAGAUGUACAACAGAACCCCUUGAAGGAGAAAGGGGCUCACCAAGACUUUGAGAGGAGGAUACUCUGCUAGGUGCGAUCGGCACUAUCCGCUAUGGAGCCACCUACAUUCAUUUAAAAAUGUAGCGCCCCGGCAAAAGGGACACGUUAAUACCAUGGAAUAGUACUAGUAUGUAUAACUAAACACCAUUUUAUUAGAAAGCACUAUCAUACAAGAACAAGGAAAUCAAGAGAGACAAUCGAAGCUUUAACCGAAUACCACAUCAUUAAAUAAAGAAUCAUACAACUUUCACAUGAUUUCCAUAACCUUAGUUUGGGGCAUUUCAUAUGUUCAUCAUUGUUCACAAUACCACCGCUGUCUUGAGCAGAGUCCGAUCACGACCCAAUCAGCUAGGUUGCCUCAUUUGAGACAUAUACCUCAAUCACCAUCUCAUUUUCCUUUUUCGGGAUUCAAUAUCAGCACAUUACCACCAUGUGUGCGGCAUGGUGUCCGAUCACAGCCAGAUCGUCUAGGCCGCCUUACCUAGGAGUUGUUCCUUUCUCAUUAAUCAUCUCAUUUAAAUUUUUAUUUCACAUAUAUCAUAUCAAUUCAUUGGCACGUAGGGCCACAAUUUCCACAUCAUGUCCACUUUCAAUACAAACAUUGCAAUUUAGGAUAACAGGUGCAAAUAAGAGCAAUUCAAGUGUAAACAUAGAUAAGAUUUCACACAGUUGGCAUGACAAUCUCAGUUUAAAUCCUGACAUUGAGGUCUAGGCAUUCCAACACAUGGUUUAUAUUCUUUACACAUCUUUAAAUUAGCAAGAAUAGUAUAUUAAACAUUUUGAGGCACUCCUAUCACGUAUACACGGUUGCAAAACCAAUUCAUGUGAAAUAACAAUCAAUUCAUCAAUCCAAUUUUAGUCUUAUCAUAUUUGCACAUACACCAACGGAGCUUGAUUUCUAAUAAAAGGGAGUUUUAGCCAUACAUACCUCAAAGAGUUUUCCCCUAUAAUACACCAACACCUCUAGCAAUAACAAUCUAUAAGGAGAUAGCAUAAAUCUAUUAAUAAUUAGGAAGAUUACCCAUGGUGUAACUCUCUUAGGAAUUUCAUCAAACACCUAACAUGUGGAGUANNNNNNNNNNNNNNNNNNNNNNNNNNNNNNNNNNNNNNNNNNNNNNNNNNNNNNNNNNNNNNNNNNNNNNNNNNNNNNNNNNNNNNNNNNNNNNNNNNNNNNNNNNNNNNNNNNNNNNNNNNNNNNNNNNNNNNNNNNNNNNNNNNNNNNNNNNNNNNNNNNNNNNNNNNNNNNNNNNNNNNNNNNNNNNNNNNNNNNNNNNNNNNNNNNNNNNNNNNNNNNNNNNNNNNNNNNNNNNNNNNNNNNNNNNNNNNNNNNNNNNNNNNNNNNNNNNNNNNNNNNNNNNNNNNNNNNNNNNNNNNNNNNNNNNNNNNNNNNNNNNNNNNNNNNNNNNNNNNNNNNNNNNNNNNNNNNNNNNNNNNNNNNNNNNNNNNNNNNNNNNNNNNNNNNNNNNNNNNNNNNNNNNNNNNNNNNNNNNNNNNNNNNNNNNNNNNNNNNNNNNNNNNNNNNNNNNNNNNNNNNNNNNNNNNNNNNNNNNNNNNNNNNNNNNNNNNNNNNNNNNNNNNNNNNNNNNNNNNNNNNNNNNNNNNNNNNNNNNNNNNNNNNNNNNNNNNNNNNNNNNNNNNNNNNNNNNNNNNNNNNNNNNNNNNNNNNNNNNNNNNNNNNNNNNNNNNNNNNNNNNNNNNNNNNNNNNNNNNNNNNNNNNNNNNNNNNNNNNNNNNNNNNNNNNNNNNNNNNNNNNNNNNNNNNNNNNNNNNNNNNNNNNNNNNNNNNNNNNNNNNNNNNNNNNNNNNNNNNNNNNNNNNNNNNNNNNNNNNNNNNNNNNNNNNNNNNNNNNNNNNNNNNNNNNNNNNNNNNNNNNNNNNNNNNNNNNNNNNNNNNNNNAUGUGGAGUAGACUACAAGGUUUAGAAAUGGCAAUUCCUUCCUCCCUCAACCAAUUUUAACAUGAACUACCCAUAUUAGUUCUUUAACAUCACAUACUACAACUUAGUCCCACAUGCAUGGCCUAUUUCUAACCCCCACAACAUAUUUGAACCUUUAACCUCUUGCAUGAAAUUUUGGAAGUAGGACUUACCCAGAUGGAGGACAAUCUAUGGUUAUCUUCCUUGAUUCCUGAAGACUUGAGCAAGAUUUGGAUGAUUAUGAAGCUAGGACCCUCCUUUCUCUUUCUAUAUGCUCUCAUUUCUCUUUAAAAUAAGUAGAAAAUGACCCCAAAUGAAGCCCCUAAACCUAUUUAUGAAAAUGGGGUCGGGUUAUAAAAAUAGAAAAAAUAAACCUCCGAAACCGGGUCUGCAAUCGCAGAAUGGACCGCAAAACAAGAUUGUGGGCUGCAGAAUGCAUCGCAAAAUAGGUGCCCAAAACUGGGCAACACUGGCCCAAUCUGCAACAGAUCUGCGAUCGUAGAGUCAAAAAUGCGACAUAUUUGCGAUCGCAGAUUCGACAUAGGAUCGCAUUUUUCUAGUCUUUGGUAAUUUGAUCAUAACUUUGUGUAGGAAUGUCCAAAUGAUGAAUGGUUUGAAGCGUUGGAAACUAGACUCAAAGACCUUUUAUUUGAUAGGUUAUUAAUCACAUAAAUCCUUAUAUAUUUAGAUAUGCUCGUUCAAAGUGUGGACUAGUUCAAGUACCUUUGGAAUCUUAGCCUAUUAUGAAAUUUUCCCAUUUGGCUUACACUUAGGCCUCUUCUUGGACCCCACCUUACUUAUUAUAUGACUCAUACACUUGUUUACCAAAUCCAAUUCACUUACAUCAUAUCUAUAGCACAUAAAAUAUUAUAAUUAGUCUACCUGGCACCCCGAAAUCCUAUAUUGCUUCGCAAAAUUUUUCGGGGCCUUACAUCCUCCCCCGCUUAGGAUCAUUUGUCCUAGAAUGAGAGGUAGAGCCUGACCCAACAUAACAUAUCUCUUUUCUAUCCUACCUCAAGUCCCUAUAUUUUGACUAACUCCCAAAAAUUUUCAGAAAUUUUGGCAGCAUCUCCUUUGUAACUAGGCCUAUCCACCUGUCAGAGAAUCACCCAAAACUAUCCUAAAAACUCAUCCAUAACUCGACAAAGCACCACAAUGUAUAUACCCAUAACGCUAAUGCUCAGAAUCACAAGAACUAUAUUAUCAUAAUGACACCUGAACAUGGACUGCACAUUUUUAAAUCAUAACACCUAUAAGGUACCUUUCAAGUCAAAGCUUAUUGAUAUACAAUCAAGCAAAAAUAUUUUCCUUCCACGACACUUUCGGCCUUUCAAGGUGGCCUCCUCGACUCAUAAGUUUUGCCAUACCACAUUCACGGAAGCAAUCCCAACCCCUAAACUUAUCUAACAAGGAUGAUAGCUAGAUACCUCGCAUAAGCUAACUAUCCAUUAACAUUCACCUUCAAUAAUUUACACCAGGAUGAUACACAAAUGAUCUCCACCUACCUUCUUAGACAUAGACAUAUGAAAACACAAAUUCAUGAGGAACAAUUAUGGGGAAACAUCAUACUCCUAGUGUGACCUAAUGGGAAAUGUGCUUAUGUACCCUUCAUUAUCAAUUCACAUAACAUCUACAGGGGAAAAUUUUGAGAAUAACCGGUUCACCCCACUGAAUGCUAAAUCUCUAUGCGAACACCCAAACUAAACUCGUGGUGACCUUCACGAUUACUCUAAGAUGUGAUAUAAUAAAUUGACCAUAAAUUACCUACUGAAUAUAUGUGAUCACAGGGUGACUUUGACACAUUUGAACCUUCAAUACCAAAUAGAUCUAAUACAGUAAGGAGCGACGAAGUUCAAGAUUGGGCUAGAAUUAUUCAGGAAUCCAAUUAUGCGCUGAGUAGAGUAUUUCAUGAGGUGACAUGCUAAGAGACACGGGGAUUUCUAUUAAUGAUACUGACAUGGUUUAAUCCAGGUGACUACAUCAAUUAUCAGAUAAAUGAAGCAUAGUGGUAACUAAUAUUCUUAGAUAAGGUGGAUACCAUGUAUGUGAACUUGAUAUUUUUAAAGAAGUGAUCAAGUAGGAUACACCAGUUGUGUCCCUGAGUGUAAGGUAAGUAGUUGAGCUCAAAUGGUAAGACUCUUGCAACAUGGGUGUGAUUGAGGCCGCAAAUGAAAUACGUGGAAUUUGAUUUCACUCCCAACAACAAGCGACACAAGGACUCUAUGCCACAAGCUCUUGAGGAUGGAAAGGAAGUCAUCUACUUAUGAGAUUAUCAUAAUUCGAACAAUCUAACCCUUCCUAAGGCGGUGGAAUGCUAGAGGUAGCAAAAUUCUCAUACAUGACAAUGACGUUGUCAAUACUCCUAGAAGCCGAGUGAGUAGAGAGCCACAUAACCUCAUCAAAUCCGACCCAUUUAUGACUUUUAAAAAGGGGACACACUUUGGUUUGAAAUCAUGGCAAUUUAAGCUUGAACUUUAAGGAAAAUCAUUACUUUUGAAACCCAUGACACAAGCCCUCGUAGUCCUAGAAAAUUGUCAACAAUGGCAAGAUAGUACUUAAAAUCAUUACGAGCUAGUAUAGAAUAAGGCCUCGAAGCGACCGUAUGAAUAAUUAUGAAAGGGUGAGAAGUCUUGAUGCACUUAUCAGAGAAGAGUAACCUAAGUUAUCUAGUCAUAUGGACAAGUAGAGCUGGUAGAUGAUUGUUUAGGAGAAAAUCUCAUAAGGAGUGUGAGCAAUAUCUUUUUAUCCUAACAAAAGGAACAUACCCCGACCCUUGAUGCCAUAAGGCAUAAAAUUAGAUUCACGAGGAGAGUUACCAGAUGAAAAUAGAUAGUAAGGCAGCACAACUAAGAGCACCGCUUGGAAUCGACAAGCUUAAAUAGAGUUGAAGACAUUAGAAGUCUGUAGAAAGGGGAAAUUUGCCCACUCUUAGGGCACCUGUAGAGUACAUAAAAGUGAGGUUAAUUAAAUCAGAUCAUAUAGUUGGGUAACUAGUCGAGACACUGAGAUAAUAUCGCAUUGAAUAUUACGGGUAAACAACAUAUGAUGCAAGACAAAAGAAAAGAAAGUGAUAGAGCUUAUAGAAGUGACCUUUACAUUGUAACCACUAGGAAAGGUGAUAAUAUAAGGGAUUACGAGGAGCUAAAUUUUUUUGAAAGGAGAUCUCGGUAUGAAGUCACGUGAUGUAUAGCUCCAGAAUUCAAAAAUCUAACUAUGGCUAGCAACUCUACUUCACAAUGAAGCUAUUCAACACCCUUCUACAAAACCAGCUAUUACCAGCCAAGUUGGGAGAUGCAAUAAGGCUUGGCUGAGAGAAAGGCUUGACAUAUGAAUGUGUUACUAGGUGUGUUGCUCCUUGGUGAACCCUAAGACUAAAGGUGGGAGUUAGACUGGGAAGAUGAUUGUUAGAUUAGCACAUGCAUAGAUGGUUCAGAAAUUGCGUCAUGUUAUCAACCCUUGAUGAACUUGAAGUGAAGUGGGAACCCAUGUAAUUUGUGGCAUUUAUUAAUCCAUUGACUAGAUAUCUAAAACUGUUUUAAAAUUAGAGAUACUCCUUCUGGUUCAGAGUUCAACCUUUAAGGGUAGCGCUUCUAAGGGGAUAGGAUUGAGAAAGGGAUAAUAUAGUCAAUAGUAAAUGAAGUAGGCUCGUAGUUAAAGUAAGAGGAUGGAUUGACUUGCCCCUGCCACCUAUAAUCCCAUAUCCUUGUUUAGUUAUGUCAAAGUACGGAAAACCCUAGUAAUAUUAGAGGACCAAAAACUAGUUAACCAGAAAAUAAAGGUAUUGUUACGUCUAUCCCAUUUCCUGGAUUCAGCAAAAUUGGUAAAGAAUUUGGGUGGAUUACUAUUGAUAAAAGAAAUUGUGUUUCUAGAUACCAGGGACACAAUUAUGCUCUUUCUUCAGCCCUCGAAAUUGGAACUGAGAAAUGGGUCGUCAACUAGGGGAAGGCCGGGUAUGUCAAAUGAACUAACAAAAAGGGAACUUGAGGUUUUAGGAGUAAACUCAAUAGCUUCACGGCUAGGGGAGCCGCUACAAACAUUAAAAUCAGUUGGACUCGUAGAAACAUAGAGCAAUUAACAUAUAGCGACACUCAAAUAAGUAUUAUGCAAACCAAAGGAGGAGCGAAAAUGCUCGUCUUCCUUACAACCAGAAGAAGAACAACCUUCAAGAAUAAGAUGAGCAACAAGAAUAAGCAGCAUGAUCCAAUUACAUGGAGGCUCAAUGGACCCUAGCUUUGAUGGAGAUUUAAUAAUGUUUAAAAGUGAUUGAGCAGACCAAAUUCAGAAAAUAACCUGUCGGAGAAGAGGGAGAUUCUCGCCAAACAAAUAAAAAUCUUGUCGAUUCUGACCACUAGGCCAAAAUGAAAGCCUCAACAAAGAUAGAGCGAGGGAACUACCAUACUAGAGAUGAUGAUGACACAAGGCAAAAUCUUCAUUAUGACACUAUGUCAAUAUUCAGAUGAUACAAAAACUUGAAGAAAAAUGGCCUAGGGUUUAGAAUAGAGAAGAAUAAAUGGUCGAGAGAAAAUAUCCUUUUAUUUUGUGCAAAAAUAUUAGAAUUGUCCAUCCAUUCAUUCGGGAAGAAAUUCUUCGGGUAUAGUCCCUUGUUAGAGAUUAGAAAGUGUGUCGGAAAUGGUAAUUCUAUAGCUACAACUCAAUUCAAGGACAUGAUUAUAGAGCUCGAUGUCAUAAGAGAUUGCAUAUCAGAAAAUUUGCGGUAGAGUGGAUUCAAGAAAUAUUGUAUCUUGUUCAAAGAGUAGGUGCAUGCAAUGGUUUGUGACUCAACAUUUACUAAGACCAUGCCUAUGAAAGUUCUUCGAUAUGGAUGUACGUAUACAACAAGAGUACGUUGGUUGUGCUAAGUAGUGACUUACGUGGUGACCUUAGGUUGAUAGGGCAAUAGUUGAAUCGAUGCCCCUCUACUCCACAUCCCUAACGUACGCUGGUACCAUGCCGAUAUACUAUAGGAUUUGGUGGUGCAGUGACAUCAAUAGGGACAAUGACACUCCCCUCUUAGCGAUAGGUUCUACCAAUCCCUCCAUAUCUCAAUACAUUCUCCUAACAAGUCCUUGGGCAAUCCCCUCGGACUCAUUGGUGGGAUCACCUCCCCCCCCCCCCCCUCCAUGGUUUCAAAUUCGCGGAUUAUGGUAUCAUGAUUACUCAUUUUGAGAGUAAAGCUUGGAGAGAAAACUAACUCCCUAACUUGAGCUCUAUCACACGAUUGGAGUGUCAAAGAAGGGUGAAAUUUCUAAAUAUCCAUGUAGCCCCCUAAUUAUAGAUGUGGUUGACAACACACCGAUAAGUAGGGCUCUAGUAGACACGGCUCCGAGACAUCCUAGGACACUUAAAACUUUAGGCUCUGAUACCAAGUUUGUCAUACCCCAACCUCGGGAGGCGUAACCGGUGCUCAAUCGAGUGAACCCAACUGAGAAAGCCUUAUCGAACACUUUCUAUCCAACUCAAUAUGAUUAAGGAAACCAUGCUUUCGUUUAUUUAGACAAUAUGAAAAUUUAUACAUUCAACAUUGUUAGUUCAUUUCAUAUCACAACCUUAAACCGUAGUUAAGUUCCAAGAUUCCAUACAAUUGUAAUUUAGAGAAAACAAGAGUGUAGAAUUGCAUCAUAGUCCAUAGACCCAUCCAACACCCAUACAUAACCCACACAAACAUCCAUGGAGCCUCUAAGGAUACAAAAGACAAUGAUGACAACGCCGGCAACAAGGCCCCAACUAUACCUCAAAAUUGGAUAUCUAUAACAAAAAAUGUACAACAAAACCCCUUGAAGGAGAAAGGGGCUCACCAGACUUUGAGAGGAGGAUACUCCGCUAGGCGCGAUCGACACUAUCCGCUAUAGAGCCACCAACAUUCAUUUAAAAAUAUAGCGCCCCAGCAAAACGGACAUUAGUACACCAUGGAAUAGUACUAGUAUGUAUAACUAAACACCAUUUUAUUAGAAAGAACUAUCAUAUAAUAACAAAGAAAUCACAAGAGACAAUCGAAGCUUUAACCAAACACCACAUCAUCAAAUAAAGAAUCAUACAACUUUCACAUGAUUUUCAUAACCUUAGUUUGGGGCAUUUCAUAUGUUCAUCAUUGUUCACAAUACCACUGUUGUCUUGAGUGGAGUCCGAUUACAACCCGAUCGGCUAGGUUGCCUCAUUUGAGACAUAUACCUCAAUCACCAUCUCAUUUUCCUUUUCUAGGAUUCAAUAUCAGCACAUUACCACCAUAUGUGCAGCAUGGUGUCCGAUCACGGCCCGAUCGGCUAGGCCGCCUUACCUAGGCGUUGUUCCUUUCUCAUUAAUCAUCUUAUUUGAAUCUUUAUUUCACAUAUAUCAUAUCAAUUCAUUAGCACUUAGGGCCACAAUUUCCACAUCAUGUCCACUUUCAAUACAAACAUUGCAAUUUAGAAUAACAGGUGCAAACAAGAGCAAUUCAAGUGUAAACAUAGAUAAAAUUUCACAUAGUUAGCAUGACAAUCUCAGUUUAAAUCCUGACAUUGAGGUCUAGGCAUUCCAACACAUGGUUUAUAUUCUUAAUACAUCUUUAAAUUAGCAAGAAUAGUAUAUUAAACAUUUUGAGGCACCCCUAUCACGUAUACACAGUUGCAAAACCAAUUCACGUGAAAUAAUAAUCAAUUCAUCAAUCCAAUUUCAGUCUUACCACAUUUGCACAAACACCAAUGGAGCUCGAUUUCUAAUAAAAGGGAGUUUUAGCCAUACAUACCUCAAAGAGUUUUCCCCUAUAAUACACCAACACCUCUAGCAAUAACAAUCUAUAAGGAGAUAGCAUAAAUCUAUUAAUAAUUAGGAAGAUUACCCAUGGUGUAACUCUCUUAGGAAUUUCAUCAAACACCUAAUAUGUGGAGUAGANNNNNNNNNNNNNACCUUUGGAAUCUUAGUCUAUUAUGAACUUUUCCCAUUUGGCUUACACUUACGCCUCUCCUUGGACCCCACCUUACUUAUUAUAUGACUAAUAUACUUGUUUACCAAAUCUAAUGCACUUACAUCAUAUCUAUAUCCCAUAAAAUAUUAUAAUUAGUCUACCUGGCACCCCAAAAUCCUAUAUUGCUUCGCAAUACUGAGACUCAUAUUGCAUACCGAGUAAUCUAUACUAACACUCGGGGGAAUCAAACCCAAGUCUAUAUUGAAUAUGCACUAAGCUCACAACAUUGAGAAUGAAAGUCAUGAACGAGUUAUGAAGCUAGAGAAUAGAAGUUCUGCAACUAUUCAAGGAAACUAGGCUUAACUAUAUUUUUGAGGCAAUUGGUAACGUGGUAAAAGAAACAUAGUGUAGGGAGAAUCAUUAACAUUCCCAAACAUAGAGAGUGAGCCUCAUAUACCUUAACUUCCUGCUCUUGAGCGUAAUACAAUAUUCACCAACCGUUUCAACUUCAAUCUAUAUCAAUACAAGUCAAAGGGAUUUCAUAUUAGCGAUAAUACUCAUGUUUUGGUUACUUAGGCAUUUUCUCAAAUACUUGGUAGCAUAAUGCUUCAUGGUCCUUAUUAAUGGUGUCUCUAUACCCAAUAACCUAUUAUGUUACUCCUAGAUAAAUUCUAAAGUCUCAAUUGGUUACAAUCAAUAUCAUUCUUUAUCACCCAUAAGGUAAACAACACCCUUAACAAAUAAUCAACAAUCAACACCCCAAACCUAUAACCGUUCAUGCAUUUAUAUCAAACUCAUAUCUCAUGAACUAGAGUCAAUAAUCAUUAAUCUGAUGCUAGAAUUAAUUAGAGGGUGAAGACAUUACCUUUUGAAGUUCAACCCCCUUGAAUUCGAGUUCUAGGGUUCCUUCUCUCAACAAUGAUGUCCCAAUAGAAUAUAUAAUGAUAUGGAGGCUUUACCCAUGUUAAUAAGAUGUUGGAAAAUUAAAAUUAACUAACAAUCACCAUUAUAACUUACCUUGGGUGGUGGAGGGACCCUUAUGGAGUUAGGUUUUUGAGAGUUCCCCUUUCUAGAGCAAGUUUUUCUUUUUUGGGAAUGUGGGGGAUGAAGUAGGGAUUUAAAAUGAGCCCCCAUGAGUGCCCCCGUGCACUUGUAGGCCUGACCACGCACCUGACCGUGCAAAAUGGCAGUAACACUGCCUCAGGAGCGCGGCCACGCUCAGGGCGUGCAUAUCGCAUACUAUUUUGUAAUACACGCAUAACCUUUUGUACAGAGAUUCAUUUGGGCUCCAAAAUAUAUCGUUGGAAAGCUAUUUCAAUGGCCUAAAACUUUCAUGUUUUGAGGUUGCCCAUAUUCCUUACAUAAUUUCACUAAAUCCUGCUGGAAGACGGACCUUUUGUAAAUUUACUCGAUUUUAUUGAAUCUUAUGCACCUCACUCUCCGUCUUGAUUUCAAAAUAACUAUUUUCACCCAUACUCAUCCUUCUAGGACUUCAUAUGUCUAAAAUAUAAAAUUAAUACCCAUUUAAUAUAUCCACGUCUAGUCCGAAUGUACAGGGUGUUACAAUACUAUUAUCAUCAUAUAUAACAUCAAGUAGUUUAUAUUAUAUUCUACUUUAUUUCCUUGUGUGUGAGGUAAUACUCUGUUCAUCAUCAUACAUCCACAGAUUAUCAACACCGUAGUUCUGUAUAGCGUGUCACAUGCAUCUUGACUGAUUGUGUCGAUUAAUGCGGCAAAAAAUAAUAACUUUGAACUUCUUUUUUUAACCUUCUUAUAAGCAAUUGUUUCGAAUAAUAAAGAGAGAAUAAAUUCAAUGAGUUUGGCAAAAUAACAGUAGAAAACAAGGAGUUGUUAUAACAUGUUGAAGACCUAAAAUAAAUAGAUAAAAGUGUUCCAUAUCUCAUCACUUAAGAAUUUUGAUAAGGUGAUCCCAUAGUAUGAUGGGUAAAAUUAGGUGUCUGAGGUCUUUGGUUCAAGUCUCACCCCUCAUGCAUGCAUUUACACCAAUAUUUUCAUGUUCCUAACUCAAGAAAAAAGAAUCUGACUCUCACAUGAGGAGGGUGCAGGUUGACUUCAUAAAUUCAAGAACUUGAAAAUGAAAUGGAAAAAUUAGGAGACAAAAAAAUAAAAUAACAAUGAAGUUUAGGCUUGUUUUCUUUAUUACUAUCUCACCAAUGCCAUAAAUGACGAAUCAUUAACAAAUUUUAGAGGUGUAAUUUUUAAAAAUCUCUCUGAGAUAUGACGUUUGGCUAAAAAUUCAUGUUUUGCAUGUAAUUUACCUUGUAUUAUGCCUCGAUUUUGCUAACUAUGGUGUGAAUAUUUGUGACUCGAGCUUAAUAAUGUUAUUUAUAUGUGUAGGAGUCAAUUGAAAGUGAUUUGGAAAGCUUGCGUGCAAAUUGAAUUAAAAAGGAAGAAUUUGAAGGAAGUAUGACUUUGGUGCCCAGGUUUACGCCAGGCACCAACCAAAACACCAAGGGCGGCAUAGCACAAACAUGGAAAAGUUUUGAUAUCCAGGUUCGUGCCAGGCCCAAAACGGGACACCCAAGGGUGGAUUACUUCCUAAUUCGGCUAGGACUUAGUAGUUCGACCCUACACGCCCCCAACAUGUAUAAAGGGAUUCUUGUAACGACCCGACUAGUUGUUUUGAAAAAUUACAUUUGGUUCAGUAGUUUGAGGUCAUGAGUAGCUUCAUAUUAUGUGUAUCAACUUUCAUGCAUUGUUGGAUUCUGUUUCCGGAUGAAUCGGAGUCGAAUUGGAAGAAGGAAUCUGGUUUUGGAAGCUUAAGUGGUGAGAAUUUGAGUUUUGAGUAAACAACUCCGGAAUGAGUUUUGGAUGAUGUCAGUAGCUUCGUAUGGUGAUUUUGAACUUAGGCGUGCAUCCGAUUUCAGAUUUGGAGGUCCGUAGGGUAAUUUGAGGCAUUUCGGCGAAAGUUGGAAAAGUUGAAGUUUGGAAAAUGGAGAAAUAUGACUCAUUGUUAACUUUUGUGUUAUCAAGGUCGGAAUGUGAUUCCGAAAGUUUGAAAAACUCCCUUAUGUCAUUUGGGACUUGCCUGCAAAAUUUGGUGUCGUUUGGAGUUGAUUUGAUAUGGUUCGGACGUUUGGUUGCAAUUCCAAAGGUUCUUGAAGUUCAUAAUGAUCUUCCUCAUUUUGGCAUCUGAUUCAUGGUUCUAGAGGUUAUUUUGAUGUUCCGAUUGUGCAAGCGAGUUCGUGUUAUGUGUUCAGACUUGUGUAGGCACUUGGUUUGGAGCCCCGAGGGCUCGAGUGAGUUUCGGAGUGGUUUCGGAAUGGCUUUCAUGAAUUUUGACUUUUCUUGUUCUAGUUUCUUCGCAUUUGCGAUGUUCUGGUCGCAAAUGCGGCCAUCGCAUUUGCGAAGAAUCCUCGUAUUUUCCAUGUCUGGGCGGUUGGGCAUUUUUUGCAUUUGCGAUGAGGCUGCCGCAUUUGCGAAAACCGACCUUCGCAUUUGCGAAGUUUUUGUCGCAAAUGCGACCUUAACAGGGGAGUUUCCAGCUUCGCAAUUGCGGGGUUCGCAUUUGCGACCCCCUAUCACAAAUGCGACAUUUGCAACCAGUUAUGUUCUGAGAAUUUUGAGUUUUUGCUUCAUUUUUCAUAUUUCUGAACCCUAGCUUCGAGGUGAGAUGAUUUUGAGAGGGGAUUUUCAUACCAGAACAUUAGGUAAGUAUCUUUAAUCAAUUUCCAACUAUAUUUUGUGAUUAUAUCUUAGAUUUAACAUCAAAUUUAAGAGAAUCUAAAGGAAAAUUUGGGGAAAAUUGUAAAAUCUUUCAAAAAAAUGUAAAAGGAUGAUUUGAAGGACCAAAUGGUAUCGAAAUUUGAUAAUUUUUGUAUGGGUGAACUCGUAUCGGAAUGGGUAUUCGGUUUAUGUAAAUUCUGUCCAGUUCCGAGGUACGGGCCCAAGGAGUUGACUUUUUACAAAUUGUAUAAGAAUCAUAGCCUUAUUAACUAAAAUUAUUUUCUCUUGCAUUGUUUGAUGUAUUUAAGUCAUUUUUGGCUAGAUGAGCCGAGCAUUGAUGAAUUGGUAAAGAAAAGGCUAAAUUGAGUAUUGAAUUGACCGGAUUGAGGUAAGUAUCUUGCCUAAUCUUGUGUGGGGGACCUCCCCUUAGGAUUUGAGUCUUCUAUGCUAAUUAUAGUCUGUGCAUGCGAGGUGACGAGUGCGUGCUCAGACUUAUUUGUGGAAAAUUUGCCUUUAGGGUUCUUAGGUCCUUAUGUUCAUUAAGUGGGAAGUUUUCUGAUAUGAUUGGGUUUCCUAAUUACUAGUUUUACCUCUGCAUGCUUUAUACGACGUUGUUAGCUUUCCUCUAACUCUUACUUGUUACUUGGCCCUUAUUUGCCUUAAUUAAAGUGAUUGUCCUCCUUAUUGUUUUAUUAUUUCUUAAUUGUGAAUUCCUCUAUGACCCCGUGCAUAUAUGCUACGUGUCCAAAUUAUUGUGGUUUCAUGUGUAGUUAUCACGUGUCAUACAUGUCUUGUUGUUUUUGUAAAGGUUGUUGUGCUUAUUGAUUUUUCUGUGAUUCUCUUGUUACCGUGUGCUCAUACUCUUGAUGGUAGAAAUUCUUGUAAUUGGGCUGUUGAAUUGUUGUUGUUGAUUUAAACUAUGUCUGGUUGUUGAUAUGUUGAGGAGGAAUAAGGGAGAAUUGAUAUUGUCUGGUGGGAUCAGGUUGCACGCUGCAACAAGGAGUAAUAAUGGUAGAUAGGUGGGAUCGGGUUGCACGCUGCAAUAGGAGGAAUAAGGGUGAUAUAUUGAGGAGUAAUAAGGGUAGACUGGUAGAAUCAGGUUGCACGCCGCAACACAGAGUAAUAAGGGUGAAUGUUCAUAUUGCUACUGAUAUGGUGAGAUCGGGUUGCACGCUGCAACAUAUAUAUACUAUUUACUUGUAUUUUAAUUGUUACGGAGGAAUAAGGGAGGAUUGGUGGGAUCAGGAUGCGCGCUGCAUCAAUAUAUGUGCUUAUGUACUCCUCUCUGACUGUGUAAAUUAUUCGGUAGUUUUACCUCUCACUUAGGGAUUGGUUAUAGCUGGACACUGAUAAGACCCUUGAGUUAUGUAAUUAUUUCUGCAAGUUACCAAUUUUCAAAGUAAAUUUAUUACGUUGAAACAUUUCCUCCUGUCCUGCUAAGUUGUUAGCAACAUAGUGAUUUAAAGUAAAGGAAUUUAUACUACGCUGCUUCAUAUGACUUUUAUAUUUGAACUCGCCGUAUAUAUAUAUAUAUAUAUAUAUAUAUAUAUAUAUAUAUACAUUUCAAUACUUCAAAUUCCAAUGAUUGUUAUAUUUUACUUUAAUUAGUUUCUCAACUAAAUUUCCUUAACCGUUUGAGAUUAAAUUUUACUUAAAAGGAAAAUUCUAUAAAGUUUUAAUUUAAUAAAUUCUAUAUUAAAGGCAAUAAUUUAUUUGAUGUUGUAUUUUAUUUGAAAAUGUUAUUUUCUUCAUUCAAAUGAUUUCUAAAAAUAACUCCAUCUUUUCUUGCUGAUUUCCUAAUUAGUUUAGAAGCUGUAAUUUAUUUCACGUUAUAUAAAUGAGACCCUUGAACAUCUUAAUUACAUUGGUUACGGACAUUAUGUACUGAUAGCACGUGGAUUUGUUGUGCAAAGUGAGAUGGAAAUAUGUAGGCACAUGGUGCCAAGUUUGUUAAAGGUUUGGGAGUUUUGGUUAUGAUAUGAGACUUCGAGGUUUGAGAUGGUCGGAGUUUGUGUAAUAAGAAUGAGGUGAUUGAUUGAGUUAACAUCGCUAUUCUUAUUUGAGCACAUUUUUACUUGUCUGUGUCCCAGCUAUGUUGGUGUUAAUUUACUUGGUUAUAUUUUAUUACCAUCCGUCUUUUCCUUUAUUGUCUCUACUAUUGUAGUUUGAUUUCUUCUUGCUUUAGAUAUUACUACGUCAUCUUUAUCUUGAUAGUUUAUUAUCAUAUCCUGUUCAAUUUAUUUGACCAGUAGGUGUCUUAAUUGUUCCUCGUCACUACUCCACCGAGGUUAUUCUUGAUACUUACUGGGCACCACUGUGGUCUGCUCAUACUACACUUCUGUACAUUUUUCACAGAUCCAGGUAUUUGAUCGAUAGUGUUGUGCUUAUCAUCGCGGUGGAGACUCAAGGUAACCCUGUUGCUGCGUUCGUAGGCCUCGGAGUCACCUUCAUUUGUACUUAUUUCCAUUGGUUCCUUUUGUUCUGGAACAGUGAUGUAUUUAUCAUGUAUAACUACUCCUAGAAAG